GCCGACGACGCGGGGUGCCGUGCACCGUGACGGCUGAGAUCACACCCGUUGAACCUGAUCUAGCUCGUACUAGCGAAGGGAACGUCGUGGCCGUGCUGC
This 99-nucleotide non-coding RNA is filed under the name Actinotalea bogoriensis. RNAcentral's name for it is "Cellulomonas bogoriensis TPP sequence". It matches the Rfam family "TPP riboswitch aptamer (THI element)". Rfam says of the family: Vitamin B(1) in its active form thiamin pyrophosphate (TPP) is an essential coenzyme that is synthesised by coupling of pyrimidine and thiazole moieties in bacteria. The previously detected thiamin-regulatory element, thi box was extended, resulting in a new, highly conserved RNA secondary structure, the THI element, which is widely distributed in eubacteria and also occurs in some archaea. Analysis of operon structures identified a large number of new candidate thiamin-regulated genes, mostly transporters, in various prokaryotic organisms. RNAcentral also lists the same sequence under 1 other name. The record is from RNAcentral. Lineage: Bacteria; Bacillati; Actinomycetota; Actinomycetes; Micrococcales; Cellulomonadaceae.